Molecule: ribosomal RNA, 460 nt
Filed under: uncultured bacterium
Lineage: Bacteria
Description: partial 16S ribosomal RNA
Rfam family: Bacterial small subunit ribosomal RNA
Source: RNAcentral
CCUACGGGAGGCAGCAGUGAGGAAUAUUGGUCAAUGGACGAGAGUCUGAACCAGCCAAGUAGCGUGAAGGAUGACUGCCCUAUGGGUUGUAAACCUCUUUUAUCUGGGAAUAAAAUGUUCCACGUGUGGGACUUUGUAUGUACCAGAUGAAUAAGGAUCGGCUAACUCCGUGCCAGCAGCCGCGGUAAUACGGAGGAUCCGAGCGUUAUCCGGAUUUAUUUGGUUUAAAGGGAGCGUAGGUGGAUUGUUAAGUCAGUUGUGAAAGUUGUCGGGUCAACCACAAAAUUGCAGUUGAAACUGGCAGUCUUGAGUACAGUAGAGGUAGGCGGAAUUCGUGGUGUAGCGGUGAAAUGCUUAGAUAUCACGAAGAACUCCGAUUGCGAAGGCAGCUCACUGGACUGCAACUGACACUGAGGCUCGAAAGUGUGGGUAUCAAACAGGAUUAGAUACCCUAGUAGUC